CUCGGAGAUGUGUAUAAGAGACAGGUGGUAGAGCACUGGAUCCGUGCGGGGGCCUCACCGCCUACCAACCGAAACCAAACUCCGAAUGCCGUCGGUCCCGAGAUCGGGAGUCAGAACAUGUGGGCUAAGCCGUGUGUUCGAGAGGGAAACAGCCCAGACCGCCUGCUAAGGUCCCCAAAUCAACGCUGAGUGGCAAAGGAUGUGCGUUUGCCUAGACAACCAGGAUGUUGGCUUAGAAGCAGCCAUGCAUUUAAAGAGUGCGUAACAGCUCACUGGUCAAGUGGACAUGCGCCGACAAUACACGGGGCUAAGCGUUGUACCGAAGCAGCGGACUGUUUUAUCAGUGGUAGGGGAGCUUUCCAUGCCGGGGCGAAGCCGACGGGCGACCGUCGGUGGACUGCAUGGAAGUGAGAAUGCUGGCAUGAGUAACGAGAGAGGGGCGAGAAACCCCUCCGCCGUAAGCCUAAGGGUUCCUGGGCAAGGCUAAUCCCCCCAGGGUCAGUCGGGAGCUAAGGCGAGGCCGACAGGCGUAGCCGAUGCACAACAGGCGGACAUUCCUGUACCACCGCGGAGCGUUACUACGACGGGGUGACGGAGAAGGGUAGCCGGGCGGGGUUCUGGACGUCCCCGUGAAAGCGCGUAGGGAGGGGCCCAGGGAAAUCCGGUCCCCACAUAUCCCGAGACGCGAGACGAGCCCUAUGGCGAAGUCGCGGAUUCCAUGCCUCCUAGAAAAAUCCCUAGGCAGCGCCCACGCCGCCCGUACCAAAACCGACACAGGUGGGUAGGAAGAGCAUUCCGAGGCGAUCGGGGCAACCAUGGUCAAGGAACUCGGCAUAAUCGUCCCGUAACUUAGGGAGAAGGGACGCCCCCCAGCGUGAACCGGCUCGCCCGGGAAGCGCCGGGGGGCCGCAGCGAAAGGGCCCAAGCGACUGUUUACCAAAAACACAGGACUCUGCCAAGCCGCGAGGCGAAGUAUAGGGUCUGACGCCUGCCCGGUGCCGGAAGGUCACGGGGAUCCGUUAGCCUUUGGCGAAGCGGUGAACCCAAGCCCCGGUAAACGGCGGCCGUAACUAUAACGGUCCUAAGGUAGCGAAAUUCCUUGUCGGGUAAGUUCCGACCUGCACGAA
RNAcentral lists this ribosomal RNA (1127 nucleotides) under human gut metagenome. Its description in RNAcentral is "bacterial LSU rRNA". It matches the Rfam family "Bacterial large subunit ribosomal RNA", at positions 870 to 1996 of the family's 2925-position model. The record is from RNAcentral.